UACGUAGGGGGCAAGCGUUGUCCGGAUUUACUGGGCGUAAAGAGCGCGUAGGCGGAUGUUUAAGUGUGGCCUGAAAGCCCCCGGCUCAACCGGGGAUCCGGGUUGCAUACUGGGCAUCUUGAGGGGGAUAGGGGAAGGUGGAAUUCCUGGUGUAGCGGUGAAAUGCGUAGAGAUCGGGAGGAACACCGGUGGCGAAGGCGGGUCUCUGGGCAUCUCCUGACGCUGAGGCGCGAAAGCGUGGGGAGCAAACGGG
RNAcentral lists this ribosomal RNA (253 nucleotides) under uncultured bacterium. Its description in RNAcentral is "partial 16S ribosomal RNA". It matches the Rfam family "Bacterial small subunit ribosomal RNA", at positions 524 to 776 of the family's 1533-position model. The record is from RNAcentral.